This 460-nucleotide ribosomal RNA is filed under the name uncultured bacterium. RNAcentral describes it as "partial 16S ribosomal RNA". It matches the Rfam family "Bacterial small subunit ribosomal RNA", at positions 338 to 795 of the family's 1533-position model. The record is from RNAcentral.
CCUACGGGGGGCAGCAGUGAGGAAUAUUGGUCAAUGGACGAGAGUCUGAACCAGCCAAGUAGCGUGAAGGAUGACUGCCCUAUGGAUUGUAAACUUCUUUUAUAUGGGAAUAAAACAGGCCAUGCAUACCCUCUCGUAUGUACCCUAUGAAUAAGGAUCGGCUAACUCCGUGCCAGCAGCCGCGGUAAUACGGAGGAUGCGAGCGUUAUCCGGAUUUAUUGGGUUUAAAGGGUGCGUAGGUGGAUUGUUAAGUCCGUGGUGAAAGUUUGCGGCUCAACCGUAUAAUUGCAGUUGAAACUGGCGAUCUUGAGUGCAGUAGAGGUGUGCGGAAUUCGUGGUGUAGCGGUGAAAUGCAUAGAUAUCACGAAGAACUCCGAUUGCGAAGGCAGCUCACUGGACUGCAACUGACACUGAAGCUCGAAAGUGUGGGUAUCAAACAGGAUUAGAUACCCUGGUAGUC